RNAcentral lists this ribosomal RNA (253 nucleotides) under uncultured bacterium. Its description in RNAcentral is "partial 16S ribosomal RNA". It matches the Rfam family "Bacterial small subunit ribosomal RNA", at positions 524 to 776 of the family's 1533-position model. The record is from RNAcentral.
UACGUAGGUGGCGAGCGUUGUCCGGAUUUACUGGGCGUAAAGGGCGCGCAGGCGGUUCUGUUUGUCGAGUGUGAAAGCCCCGGGCUCAACCUGGGAACUGCGCUCGAAACGGCGGAACUAGAGUUCGGGAGAGGAGAGUGGAAUUCCCAGUGUAGAGGUGAAAUUCGUAGAUAUUGGGAAGAACACCGGUGGCGAAGGCGGGUCUCUGGGCCGAUACUGACGCUGAGGAGCGAAAGCGUGGGGAGCGAACAGG